AGUGAACGCUGGCGGUAGGCCUAACACAUGCAAGUCGAACGGCAGCACAGUAAGAGCUUGCUCUUACGGGUGGCGAGUGGCGGACGGGUGAGGAAUACAUCGGAAUCUACUUUUUCGUGGGGGAUAACGUAGGGAAACUUACGCUAAUACCGCAUACGACCUACGGGUGAAAGCAGGGGAUCUUCGGACCUUGCGCGAUUGAAUGAGCCGAUGUCGGAUUAGCUAGUUGGCGGGGUAAAGGCCCACCAAGGCGACGAUCCGUAGCUGGUCUGAGAGGAUGAUCCGCCACACUGGAACUGAGACACGGUCCAGACUCCUACGGGGGGCAGCAGUGGGGAAUAUUGGACAAGGGGCGCAAGCCUGAUCCAGCCAUACCGCGUGGGUGAAGAAGGCCUUCGGGUUGUAAAGCCCUUUUGUUGGGAAAGAAAAGCAGCAGGUUAAUACCCCGCUGUUCUGACGGUACCCAAAGAAUAAGCACCGGCUAACUUCGUG
This 492-nucleotide ribosomal RNA is filed under the name uncultured bacterium. RNAcentral's name for it is "partial 16S ribosomal RNA". It matches the Rfam family "Bacterial small subunit ribosomal RNA", at positions 29 to 507 of the family's 1533-position model. The record is from RNAcentral.